CUCAAUUUUGCUUCGGAGUUGAUAACAUUAUCCAGUAUGGCUCUCCAGGAAAAGAUAAACUCAUGGGCAGAUGGUGCUGACCCAGUUGCUAUUGGGAAUUUGGUGAUGCAGAGCACAGAGGCAGCGAUGGGAUUUCACUACCCUGAGGAGGUGCUGAGCACAUUCAGAUGUCUCCAAAGCUGGUCAGUCCUAUAAUGAGCCCCUGUCGCGUGCCAGGAGUUGCUGAAGCUUUGGAAAGGAAGAUUUUGUCUGCUACAAACCCUGCCAUGGUACAGAGGUUAACUAGACACCUGAAAUUGCAACGCUGGAGUAGAUAAAGCAGCCUGGAAUCAGUUAACAAGCUUAAAUCACUGUUCAGUCUGUCCUAUAUUACAACAGAAAAACCUUUGGAACUGAAAAUGCUGAGCUGCAUCUGCAGCUGGCAAUGAGGCAUGUAGCUCUGGCCCUGGGUUUGGCUUCUGAUGGUUGGACAGGAGCUUUGUACAUGGUGGAACAGGUUCCCAGAGAGGUGGCUGAUGCUCUGUCCCUGGACACAACCAAGGUCAGACUGGACCAGGCUCUGGGCAACCUGAGGUAGCUGUAGGUAUCCUCAUUUGUGGUAGGGGAGUUGGACUAGAUGACCCUUCCAAGAUCCCUUCCAUCUCAAAUGAUUCUACAGUCUUAUGGUGGAUGAACACUUCAGGUCUCCCAGUGAUGAACUUCAGUGGAGACGUAGCAGAAAUUUAGAGACAAGCAGGAACCCAUGAGUUGGGGAUUGGGAUGAAUGAUGGGUAUUGUCACUGCAGGCUCUGUCUUCUUCUAAGCCAUCCUGUGUUUGGUUGCCUUGUCCUGACGUAGUCAUUCCUGUGGGAACACUUCUUCCUCUCUCCUGGUUGAAGGCAGAGUAAUCGCAGCCACACUCCUAGUGGGGCCUCCUGGUGCUCUGCACACCUCCCUCAUGCCUUGGUGUGGAACGGUUUACAUGAGAACCUUCAGUGGUAUUUAAUCAGAAAUUUGGGCUCAGAGGGUUGUUUUGGGUUUCUUUGCAUCUGUUUUCUUAGCGUUAGCAGCUGGCUCCUGGGAACCUGCUGCCACCACCUGCCCUGGCAGCACUGGGCUUUGGUGUGGUGCUGGCACUCCGUGCACAGAGCCAUUUAAUUGAAGGUGGGUGAGGACAAGGCUC
RNAcentral lists this long non-coding RNA (1162 nucleotides) under Gallus gallus (chicken). RNAcentral describes it as "lncRNA (ENSGALG00010022523.1)". Lineage: Eukaryota; Metazoa; Chordata; Aves; Galliformes; Phasianidae. The record is from RNAcentral.